This 1064-nucleotide long non-coding RNA is filed under the name Oncorhynchus kisutch (coho salmon). RNAcentral's name for it is "lncRNA (ENSOKIG00005039728.1)". Lineage: Eukaryota; Metazoa; Chordata; Actinopteri; Salmoniformes; Salmonidae. The record is from RNAcentral.
GGUGAACCUCUCCACUGUUUGUGCCAAUGCACCCCAGCUGUGGAGAAAUUACACCUCCUCAUCUGGUACCAGGUUGGGGAGGAGCUGGAUUCUUCCCUGAAUCACUCUGCCAGCGUCCUGUAUUCUGAAUCACUCUGCCAGGGACCUGUAUUCUGAAUCACUCUGCCAGCGACCUGUAUUCUGAAUCACUCUGCCAGCGUCCUGUAUUCUGAAUCACUCUGCCAGCGUCCUGUAUUCUGAAUCACUCUGCCAGCGUCCUGUAUUCUGAAUCACUCUGCCAGCGUCCUGUAUUCUGAAUCACUCUGCCAGCGUCCUGUAUUCUGAAUCACUCUGCCAGCGACCUGUAUUCUGAAUCACUCUGCCAGCGUCCUGUAUUCUGAAUCACUCUGCCAGCGUCCUGUAUUCUGAAUCACUCUGCCAGGGACCUGUAUUCUGAAUCACUCUGCCAGCGACCUGUAUUCUGAAUCACUCUGCCAGGGUCCUGUAUUCUGAAUCACUCUGCCAGCGUCCUGUAUUCUGAAUCACUCUGCCAGCGUCCUGUAUUCUGAAUCACUCUGCCAGCGUCCUGUAUUCUGAAUCACUCUGCCAGCGUCCUGUAUUCUGAAUCACUCUGCCAGCGACCUGUAUUCUGAAUCACUCUGCCAGCGACCUGUAUUCUGAAUCACUCUGCCAGGGACCUGUAUUCUGAAUCACUCUGCCAGGAACCUGUAUUCUGAAUCACUCUGCCAGGGACCUGUAUUCUGAAUCACUCUGCCAGGGACCUGUAUUCUGAAUCACGCUGCCAGGGACCUGUGUUCUGAAUCACUCUGCCAGGGACCUGUGUUCUGAAUCACUCUGCCAGCGACCUGUAUUCUGAAUCACUCUGCCAGGGACCUGUAUUCUGAAUCACUCUGCUAGGGACCUGUGUUCUGAAUCACUCUGCCAGGGACCUGUGUUCUGAAUCACUCUGCCAUUACUCAUCUCACCCUAACCCUAACCCUGUAUUCUGAAUCCAAUUCAAUGGUGCAAUUAACGACUUCUCAGGCUGAGGAGUGAGUUUACAAAUCCAUACCUGUUAAAGUCCA